Molecule: ribosomal RNA, 497 nt
Filed under: uncultured bacterium
Lineage: Bacteria
Description: partial 16S ribosomal RNA
Rfam family: Bacterial small subunit ribosomal RNA
Source: RNAcentral
GAUGAACGCUGGCGGCGUGCCUAAUACAUGCAAGUCGAGCGAACAGAUGAGGAGCUUGCUCCUCUGACGUUAGCGGCGGACGGGUGAGUAACACGUGGAUAACCUACCUAUAAGACUGGGAUAACUUCGGGAAACCGGAGCUAAUACCGGAUAAUAUAUUGAACCGCAUGGUUCAAUAGUGAAAGACGGUUUUGCUGUCACUUAUAGCUGGAUCCGCGCCGCAUUAGCUAGUUGGUAAGGUAACGGCUUACCAAGGCAACGAUGCGUAGCCGACCUGAGAGGGGGAUAGGCGACACUGGAACUGAGACACGGUCCAGACUCCUACGGGAGGCAGCAGUAGGGAAUGUGCCGCAAUGGGCGAAAGCCUGACGGAGCAACGGCGCGUGAGUGAUGAAGGUCUUCGGAUCGUAAAACUCUGUUAUGAGGGAAGAACAAAUGUGUAAGUAACUAUGCACGUCUUGACGGUACCUAAUCAGAAAGCCACGGCUAACUACGUG